AUUCUGCGCAUAUGAUGAAAACUAUGUUGGUAGGGACAUCUGAGAAAAGCUGAUGAAUGCCAACGUUUCUGAUGCCGCAU
Molecule: small nucleolar RNA, 80 nt
Organism: Neoarius graeffei (lesser salmon catfish)
Lineage: Eukaryota; Metazoa; Chordata; Actinopteri; Siluriformes; Ariidae
Product: small nucleolar RNA SNORD74
Exons: 1
Source: RefSeq, a predicted model, not a curated record